Molecule: ribosomal RNA, 790 nt
Filed under: uncultured archaeon
Lineage: Archaea
Description: bacterial SSU rRNA
Rfam family: Archaeal small subunit ribosomal RNA
Source: RNAcentral
ACGGCUCAGUAACACGUAGUCAACAUGCCCAGGGGACGUGGAUAACCUCGGGAAACUGAGGAUAAACCGCGAUAGGUCAUAGUAUCUGGAAUGAUUUAUGGCUCAAAUCUAUAUGGCCUCUGGAUUGGACUGCGGCCGAUCAGGCUGUUGGUGAGGUAAUGGCUCACCAAACCUAAAACCGGUACGGGCUCUGAGAGGAGAAGCCCGGAGAUGGGCACUGAGACAAGGGCCCAGGCCCUAUGGGGCGCAGCAGGCGCGAAAACUCUGCAAUAAGCGAAAGCUUGACAGGGUUAUUCUGAGUGAUUUCCGCUAAGGAAAUCUUUUGGCACCUCUAAAAAUGGUGCAGAAUAAGGGGUGGGCAAGCCUGGUGUCAGCCGCCGCGGUAAUACCAGCACCCCGAGUGGUCGGGACGAUUAUUGGGCCUAAAGCAUCCGUAGCCGGUUCUACAAGUCUUCCGUUAAAUCCACCUGCUCAACAGAUGGGCUGCGGAGGAUACUAUAGAGCUAGGAGGCGGGAGAGGCAAGCGGUACUUAGUGGGUAGGGGUAAAAUCCGUUGAUCCAUUGAAGACCACCAGUGGCGAAGGCGGCUUGCCAGAACGCACUCGACGGUGAGGGAUGAAAGCUGGGGGAGCAAACCGGAUUAGAUACCCGGGUAGUCCCAGCUGUAAACGAUGCAGACUCGGUGAUGAAUAGGCUUCGUGCCUAUUCAGUGCCGCAGGGAAGCCGUUAAGUCUGCCGCCUGGGGAGUACGGUCGCAAGACUGAAACUUAAAGGAAUUGGCGGGGGAGCA